This 3170-nucleotide long non-coding RNA is filed under the name Sus scrofa (pig). RNAcentral's name for it is "lncRNA (ENSSSCG00000056825.1)". Lineage: Eukaryota; Metazoa; Chordata; Mammalia; Artiodactyla; Suidae. The record is from RNAcentral.
GGUUUCAGUUUUGCAAGAUGAAAAGGUUUUAGGGAUCUGCUACACAACAAUUUGAAUACAGUUAAUGCUACUGAACUUUAUGCUUAAAAUUGUUAGGAGGGUAAAGUUUAUAUAAUUUUUUUACUACAAUUAAAAAUUUUUAAAAGUUCAUAGUAUUUUUUUACAACAAUUAAAAAUUUUAAAAAGAAUAGAAACUUUAAAAAAUUGUUCUGAAUCCCUGUGGCCACAAUUAUGGCCAUAGCAAACAAAAUCAUUACCCCAAAAAUCUUAAAAAGAAGGAUUUGUACAUAUGAUAUAUCUGUGAAGCAGGUGGCUUAAAACUUUCCAAAGUCACACAACCAGUUGGUUGUGAGCUGGAAGCUAAGUCUGAUUGUCAGUCCAAAGAGGUUUUUUUCUGGAGUUUCCUCUCUACCACCUUACCCUCUGGUAACAUGGCACCUGGCACACAGAGAAUGCUCUAGUAGAAAUUCUGGAAAUAAAUGAAUGCCUCCCACACUGCCUGAUCACUUCCGUCCUUUGUAAGUUGACGGAAAGGAAAACGUAUUCUUCAGUCUUCUAUAUAUGUACCCGACCAAGCAAUUCUUCAUGUAAAUAAUCUGACUUUGGUUUAAUAAAAUGUAUAUGACAUAAGAACACUAAAAUAUUUCAAAAUGUAAAAUAAUUCUGGAAAGACAAAAAAGAUAACUGAAACAGAGUACUGCCAUUAAUUGUCGUCAUAUGACAUACUCCCCAUUGAACACCUGGUUUUGAACCUGUAGAUUUCCCACUGUGGUGUAACUUGCCCCCAAAUACAAGUUUGCUGCUGAUUUAGAAACACAAAGUGGUAUUUUGGUUUUCCAGAGUAUUUUUGAAAUUAUUAUAGUCUAUAUUUUUUUCAGCCACCAGGUGGCAUGAGUUUUGCUACUGAAAUAUACAAUAAAACUGUAUAAAAAAAUGUAUCCUGAAGAAAGAAAUUAUAUCAAGUCUUACAUAUCUAACAGAAAGAUAAUGAUAAUGGAUUUUGUCAUGAAUUCAAUCAAUGAAAACCUACACACUAAUAGAUUCAAUAGCUAUGACUAUGUCACAUAAAGACCUUAGGAGCUUUAUGUUAGACAUUUAUCCUAACAAAGAGCUCCCAAAUAAAAAUGUAUAAUUGAUGUAGAGUAGGUGAGCACAAUUAUCUAAAAUUAUACUUUCUUAAAUUAAGGCGUUAAUUUCAUCAGUGACCUGUUCUUGUAAGACAGAGAUGAAAAAAAUCUUUUUUCUCAAUUCUGUGAUAAUUCGUAACCCUGUUUAUCAAUGAUAAAUUCACACACUAUUACUUAAGUAUCAGACCAAAUUUAAAGAUAGGCUUCAUUUUUAAGAAAACUCUCAAAUAUUAAGAAAAUGAGAAGAUAAUUAUUCAUUCUAAAAAGCCAUUCUACAAAAUAGUUCAUGGCAACAUUGAUUAGAAGAGUAAAUUUCUUUACAGUAUUUAACUUUUCAUCCGACAUCACAAGAAAGGGAAGAAUGGCCAACCUGGUGCUUAUGAAGUUGAACCAGCCACCUGGGGCUGAAGGAAUCUGUGGAAAUGUUGUAAGAUGCUAUCAAGCAUUUCCCCCUUCACUGGUUUAUUUUUCUUUCGACGUCCAAUUCCAAAUCCAAGGAGCUAAGCCCUUUCGUAUUCACCAUUCAGGAGAUGCAUCUGACAAGGCUCAAAGCAGAAAAAUAGAGUUUUCUUAGCUUCGGUUUCCAAAAAUGUAUACUCUUAGGGAAUGGCUAUGACCAUUGACGUAGAUAAAAAGAUAUGUGAGGGGAAAACAGCAUGGUAUGAGCAGGAGGAAGGGGUGAGGAACAGGUUUUACUCAGAGGCCACAUGAUGCCACGGAUGCCUCAAGUGGUGUCUGCGUAGACAAAUGCCAUCAAGGAUCAGAUGGGCCACUUAUCCCACAAAAUCUUGGCUAGAUAUCAGCACCUAGAAUUUUGAUGCAACCCCAUGGCAGAGGGGGAACCCCAACAUUUCCAAGAUGGCUUAUUUAAGGCAAAGGAAGGGAGAGCUAAACCUGAAAUUGUGUUCAGUCCUAGAAAAUAAUUGUGGUGGUAUUUUGUAUUAGCUUCGGAUAUCUGAUGCUGUUAGUAUUUUCUAAGUUUAUUGUCCAUGAACUCAUUUGUCUUUUUUUCUUCUGUAGUAUUUGGCAAAUUUCUUUUUAAAAUAUCAGCCUUUGUCAGUUCUCCUGUGGGUAUUGAAGGAAAAGGUUUUGUUUCCACAAGUGGACAGUAGCUUUAUGGGAAAAGUACUUAUGAGGACAAGCUUGUCUUUGAUGAGGUCCCUAUGAGAAGCCCAAGAAAAGGUGAAUCUCAGGAGAGUUGACUUCCCACCUGCGGAUUCUCUUGUCUUCCCUUUCAUCCUCAUUGUGUGACUGCCUGUAGCAUUAGACAUCAAUAUAUUCACUAGCGUUAUAAGAGAUAAACAAUACUUUCCCCUUACAUAAAAUACAUUCUAAAGGGGGAAACCGAUGUGUCAACCAAUGUGUAUAGACCUUGUUUGAGUCUGAGAAGUGCCCAGAUAGAAAAUAGCAUGUGCUAUCGUUGAUGCAUGUGAAGGACCAAGGAGAGGUAUGUAACACACCAAAAAUAAAUAAGCCUCACCUUAGACAUGUAAUUGUCAGUACACGUGCAUGUUUGUGUGUGGGUGAUGGAAUGAGAGGGGUUUUGUAUGUGCAGUUAUUUACAGUUUUGUACCAGUUUCUUGGAUCUAACUACCAGGGUCUUCUCAACCCAGAUAUUUAUCUAUAAUAACACUUUAAGGGGUUCUCUGACUUGAAGCUUCAUGAGAAUGACGAGAAGGUCGAUUGAGAAUGGCUGUACCCACGCUCUGUAAUGAGAAUGUCACGUCUGCAUAAUUAUCUAUAAUAAACUCUGCAGGGGCUACAGAGGAUUAUGAUCUUGGUUUCCAGUAUGGUAAGGAAAAGAGUUCUCAUCCUCCCUGAAUCGAUUCCUCUGUCCACUGGGUCCUGGUUUGUGAUGGAAGAGUCACAUCUAACAUGGGCUGCCUUAAUUACUGAUCUUGGUAAGCUAGGCUUUGCUUACCAACACCCAGGGUGACAAUACAGGGUGCUGUGGUUCUCCAUGUCUCUAACCUGAGCGCUCCAAGAAAAAGGUGACCCUUUUCUCUGAACAUUGCCAUGGUAGAAAGGGUUUCCUAACAUAUG